Molecule: ribosomal RNA, 190 nt
Filed under: uncultured bacterium
Lineage: Bacteria
Description: partial 16S ribosomal RNA
Rfam family: Bacterial small subunit ribosomal RNA
Source: RNAcentral
ACGCUCGACACCUGAGGCAGCAGUGGGGAAUAUUGCACAAUGGGGGAAACCCUGAUGCAGCAACGCCGCGUGAGUGAAGAAGUAUUUCGGUAUGUAAAGCUCUAUCAGCAGGGAAGAUAAUGACGGUACCUGACUAAGAAGCUCCGGCUAAAUACGUGCCAGCAGCCGCGUAUCNGNGGCGGCUGCGAGC